RNAcentral lists this ribosomal RNA (497 nucleotides) under uncultured bacterium. RNAcentral describes it as "partial 16S ribosomal RNA". It matches the Rfam family "Bacterial small subunit ribosomal RNA", at positions 28 to 507 of the family's 1533-position model. The record is from RNAcentral.
GAUGAACGCUGGCGGCGUGCCUAAUACAUGCAAGUCGAGCGAACGGACGAGAAGCUUGCUUCUCUGAUGUUAGCGGCGGACGGGUGAGUAACACGUGGAUAACCUACCUAUAAGACUGGGAUAACUUCGGGAAACCGGAUCUAAUACCGGAUGAUAUUUUGAACCGCAUGGUUCAAAAGUGAAAGACGGUCUUGCUGUCACUUAUAGAUGGAUCCGCGCUGCAUUAGCUAGUUGGUAAGGUAACGGCUUACCAAGGCAACGAUGCAUAGCCGACCUGAGAGGGUGAUCGGCCACACUGGAACUGAGACACGGUCUAGACUCCUACGGGAGGCAGCAGUAGGGAAUCUUCCGCAAUGGGCGAAAGCCUGACGGAGCAACGCCGCGUGAGUGAUGAAGGUCUUCGGAUCGUAAAACUCUGUUAUUAGGGAAGAACAUAUGUGUAAGUAACUGUGCACAUCUUGACGGUACCUAAUCAGAAAGCCACGGCUAACUACGUG